GAGAGAAUUUGAACGCUCUUGGCAGUUGAGAUUCAGACCUUGACAGUUGUAACCGAUAGACUGGGCUGGGGCAACGCUGAUGAAAGGCAAAUUCCUGAGAGAAAAAUCACCCAGAUUUUUCAGUGCCUUCUCUAGCUUUCUAGAAGUUGUUAUGAGUGGACCUGACUACCUAGAGAGAGUAAUACAGAAGCUCCGUGCCGAUCACAGCUACCUCAUUACCAUGUUCCUCCAAGAUGGCCGCCCCUGAGGAGAAUCAUCAACUGGGCUUUACGGAAGAGAGAAAUCCAAACGACCAUCAGCAACAAAUGAAAGACUGAAGUUGAAAGGCAAGUCUUCAGAUUUGAAGAAAUCCAUAAUUUUUGAAUGCUGGCCGAGGUCUGUGACCUCUGACUGAAUGGUUUCCAAGCUCCGAAUUCCUAGGUGAUGUUUUCAUUUGUUCACACUUGCUGAAGAAGGGAAAGGCUCUCUGAUUUACGUGUAAGCAAAACAAUCUAAACAGUAGGAUAAAAUCAUGUUGGAAUGGAGUUCUGUGUGGAUGCUCCUUUGAACCAAAUCAGUUCCACAACUGACCCUGUCAGGGACAUAUAAAUUUAGCAUUUUGGUGUGGAUACAGAAGACGAGAUUAACACAGAUCAAGUAACAUGGAAAUAAAAAAGGAGACAAUGCUGGAUGAUACAGGGGCAGCCAACAAGAGGAGAAAACCCAAGCAUUGGCAAAUGCCUCAUUAUCCAAAGAACACUGAGGUGUGGAGCAAAACUGUGUUGAAUGAACUGUAGAUGGAAAUUCUCUCCUUCCCACCGAGGAGCCGCUGCAGGUUGCAGACUCCCAGAAUGCCACACUGAGAAGAGGAGGGCUAAAAUUCUAGAGCAGAAUCCCUGGGGCAGCCCCUGCUGAAGAAGGGUGCAUCUGUUGAGAAUCUCAUCACCGCCCCCACCCCGCCCAGCCUUCAAUUUAGAGGAAUUUCUAGUUCACGCAGAAUGAAGACAAGAUCACAUAAGUGAGGACGACGCCCCAUUUACAAGUGUGAUUUGGAAGACUGAAGUGGAAACCUUGGGAAGGGGCCUCAGAGUAUGUCAGCUGGGGUCAGACGGGAACAGGAGUCUGGCUCAACACACAUUUAUUGCACUCCUGUUUCAUGCCAAGAAAUGUACCAAAAUCUGGGACUGUGUAACACAGCAAAGGAAAAGACUCAUCUCCAGGAAGCCCCCUUGUCUAGGAAGAGAAAUUGAAUAUCAGCAUAAGGUGGUGAAAAGCUGUGAAGGAGAUGAGUGCCAGGAGUCCAUGGAGGAAGGAUUCUAGCCUGGACAGAGUCUCCAUGAAUUGCAAGGGAAAACAAGUGGUACACUGGUAUUUCUAUUUGAUAACCUGUUCUCUUUGGAAUUCCGGUUAGAAAUCAAAGGCUUACUUGAGUUUUAAUGCUUUCGGGACUUCAAAUGCUUUUCUAUCUUCCUAAUAAUAUAUUAACAUUUUCUGAAGACAACAUAUAUGUGGAAAACAACAUUAUUUACUCAAAUAAUUUUUUUUGAAAAAUGGACCAAAAAAAAAGAAAAACCAACAAAAA
Long non-coding RNA from Homo sapiens (human), 1561 nucleotides. Ensembl annotates it as long intergenic non-protein coding RNA 1206. Lineage: Eukaryota; Metazoa; Chordata; Mammalia; Primates; Hominidae. The record is from Ensembl.